UGGCUCAGGAUGAACGCUGGCGGCGUGCUUAACACAUGCAAGUCGAACGGACUUUUAAUGAAGCCUAGCGAUUUAAAAGUUAGUGGCGGACGGGUGAGUAACACGUGAGCAACCUGCCUAUUACAGGGGGAUAACAUUUAGAAAUGAAUGCUAAUACCGCAUAUGACCACGAACCGACAUCGGUUAGGGGUGAAAGGAAUCAAAUCUGGUAAUAGAGGGGCUUGCGCAUCAUUAGCUAGUUGGUAAGGGUAACGGCCUACCAAGGCGACGAUGAUUAGCCGAUCUGAGAGGAUGAACGGCCACACUGGAACUGAGAUACGGUCCAGACUCCUACGGGAGGCAGCAGUCGAGAAUCAUUCACAAUGGGCGCAAGCCUGAUGGUGCGACGCCGCGUGGGGGAGGAAGGUCUUCGGAUUGUAAACCCCUGUCAUGUGGGAGCAAGACUUCGGUUUGAUAGUACCACAAGAGGAAGAGACGGCAAACUCUGUGCCAGCAGCCGCGGUAAUACAGAGGUCUCAAGCGUUGUUCGGAAUCACUGGGCGUAAAGGGUACGUAGGCGGCAUCAUAAGUCAUGCGUGAAAGGCAAGGGCUCAACCUCUGGAGUGCGCGUGAUACUGUGAUGCUGGAGUAAUGGAGGGGGAACCGGAAUUCUUGGUGUAGCAGUGAAAUGCGUAGAUAUCAAGAAGAAGACUCGUGGCGAAGGCGGGUUCCUGGACAUUUACUGACGCUGAGGUACGAAGGCCAGGGUAGCGAAAGGGAUUAGAUACCCCUGUAGUCCUGGCAGUAAACGGUGCACGUUUGGUGUGCGGGGAAUCGACCCCCUGCGUGCCGGAGUUAACACGUUAAACGUGCCGCCUGGGGAGUACGGUCGCAAGAUUAAAACUCAAAGAAAUUGACGGGGACCCGCACAAGCGGUGGAGUAUGUGGCUUAAUUCGAUGCAACGCGAAGAACCUUACCAAGGCUUGACAUCCCGUGACCGUCUGUGAAAGCAGAUUUUCUAUUCGUAGACACGGAGACAGGUGCUGCAUGGCCGUCGUCAGCUCGUGUCGUGAGAUGUUUGGUUAAGUCCAGCAACGAGCGCAACCCCUGCUGCCAGUUACCAUCAUUAAGUUGGGGACUCUGGCGGGACUGCCCAGAUCAACUGGGAGGAAGGUGGGGACGACGUCAGGUCAGUAUGGCCCUUAUGCCUUGGGCUGCACACGUACUACAAUGCCCAGUACAGAGGGAAGCCAACCCGCGAGGGUGAGCGGAUCCCGAAAAGUGGGCCCAGUUCGGAUUGGAGGCUGCAACUCGCCUCCAUGAAGCCGGAAUCGCUAGUAAUGGCGCAUCAGCUAUGGCGCCGUGAAUACGUUCCCGGGUU
This 1361-nucleotide ribosomal RNA is filed under the name uncultured bacterium. RNAcentral describes it as "bacterial SSU rRNA". It matches the Rfam family "Bacterial small subunit ribosomal RNA", at positions 20 to 1380 of the family's 1533-position model. The record is from RNAcentral.